Molecule: ribosomal RNA, 231 nt
Filed under: uncultured bacterium
Lineage: Bacteria
Description: partial 16S rRNA
Rfam family: Bacterial small subunit ribosomal RNA
Source: RNAcentral
AUGUCAGUCGCCGCGGUAAUACGAAGGGUGCAAGCGUUAAUCGGAAUUACUGGGCGUAAAGCGCGCGUAGGUGGUUUGGUAAGAUGGAUGUGAAAUCCCCGGGCUCAACCUGGGAACUGCAUCCAUAACUGCCUGACUAGAGUACGGUAGAGGGUGGUGGAAUUUCCUGUGUAGCGGUGAAAUGCGUAGAUAUAGGAAGGAACACCAGUGGCGGGUUUCAGGACUGUAACU